This 438-nucleotide ribosomal RNA is filed under the name Cybaeus giganteus. RNAcentral describes it as "partial 16S ribosomal RNA". Lineage: Eukaryota; Metazoa; Arthropoda; Arachnida; Araneae; Cybaeidae. The record is from RNAcentral.
UUCUAAUAGAACUAAUUAUUAGUAAAGUCUGCUCAAUGAUAUUUAUAUAGCCGCAAUAUAUUUGUGCUAAGGUAGCAUAAUCAUUUGUCUUUUAAUUAAAGACUAGAACGAAAGAUAUUACAUUUAAGUUUCUCUUUAAAAUAAAAAUUUUUAAAUUAUUCUAAAUAUAAAAAAAUAUUUAUUCUUUAAAUAGACGAUAAGACCCUAUUGAACUUUACAUUUGUUUAACUGGGGUAGUUAAUUAAAUAUAAUUUUAAUUUAAAUUAAAAUUUACUUUCCCAAUAAAAUUGAUUCCAUCAAGUUACCAUAGGGAUAACAGCGUAAUAUUUUUUUAAAGACCUUAUUUAAAAAAUUAAUUACGACCUCGAUGUUGAAUAAUUACCUUUAAUUAUGCAAUAAUAUUACAAAGGAAGUCUGUUCGACUUUUAAUUAAUUACA